GGAGAGGUGGCUGAGUGGUCGAAAGCGGCAGAUUGCUAAUCUGUUAGGGGUGUUAACAUCCCUCGAGGGUUCAAAUCCCUCCCUCUCCG
This 89-nucleotide transfer RNA is filed under the name Microcoleus sp. RNAcentral's name for it is "tRNA-Ser". It matches the Rfam family "tRNA". Rfam says of the family: Transfer RNA (tRNA) molecules are approximately 80 nucleotides in length. Their secondary structure includes four short double-helical elements and three loops (D, anti-codon, and T loops). RNAcentral also lists the same sequence under 4 other names. The record is from RNAcentral. Lineage: Bacteria; Bacillati; Cyanobacteriota; Cyanophyceae; Oscillatoriales; Microcoleaceae.